Molecule: ribosomal RNA, 373 nt
Filed under: uncultured bacterium
Lineage: Bacteria
Description: bacterial SSU rRNA
Rfam family: Bacterial small subunit ribosomal RNA
Source: RNAcentral
UAAUACGGAGGGUCCGAGCGUUAUCCGGAAUCAUUGGGUUUAAAGGGUGCGCAGGCGGUAAAGUAAGUCAGUGGUGAAAUCCCUUCGCUCAACGAAGGAACUGCCAUUGAUACUGCUAUACUUGAAUAUAGUCGAAGUGGGCGGAAUGUGACAUGUAGCGGUGAAAUGCUUAGAUAUGUCACAGAACACCGAUAGCGAAGGCAGCUCACUAGACUAACAUUGACGCUCAUGCACGAAAGCGUGGGGAGCGAACAGGAUUAGAUACCCUGGUAGUCCACGCUGUAAACUAUGAUUACUCGAUAUUGGCGAUAUACGGUCAGUGUCUAAGCGAAAGUGAUAAGUAAUCCACCUGGGGAGUACGGUCGCAAGAUUG